CCCUAGUACGGCGAGUGAAGCGGGAAGAGCUCAAAUUUGUAAUCUGGCGGUCUCAGGCCGUCCGAGUUGUAGUCUGGAGAAGCGUUUUCCGCGUCGGACCGUGUACAAGUCCCUUGGAACAGGGCGUCAUAGAGGGUGAGAAUCCCGUCUUUGACACGGACUACCGAUGCUUUGUGAUGCGCUCUCAAAGAGUCGAGUUGUUUGGGAAUGCAGCUCAAAACGGGUGGUAAAUUCCAUCUAAAGCUAAAUAUUGGCGAAAGACCGAUAGCGAACAAGUACCGUGAGGGAAAGAUGAAAAGCACUUUGGAAAGAGAGUUAAACAGUACGUGAAAUUGUUGAAAGGGAAACGAUUGAAGUCAGUCGCGUCUCCAGGGACUCAGCCUUGCUUCUGCCUGGCGCAUUUCCCUGGGCGACGGGCCAGCAUCGAUUUCGACCGACGGAAAAAGGCGAGGGGAAUGUGGCACCCUCGGGUGUGUUAUAGCCCCUUGUCGUAUGCGUCGGUUGGGAUCGAGGAUCGCAGCACGCCUUCAUUGGCCGGGGUUCGCCCACGUAACGUGCUUAGGAUGCUGGCGUAAUGGCUUUAAACGACCCGUCUUGAAACACGGACCAAGGAGUCUAACAUGCCUGCGAGUGUUUGGGUGGAAAACCCGGACGCGGAAUGAAAGUGAAAAGUUGGGACCUCUGUCGCGGAGGGCACCGACGCCCGGACCAGACCUUUUGUGACGGUUCCGAGGUAGAGCAUGUAUGUUGGGACCCGAAAGAUGGUGAACUAUGCCUGAGUAGGGUGAAGCCAGAGGAAACUCUGGUGGAGGCUCGUAGCGAUUCUGACGUGCAAAUCGAUCGUCGAACUUGGUAUA
This 857-nucleotide ribosomal RNA is filed under the name Lentaria byssiseda. RNAcentral's name for it is "LSU rRNA". It matches the Rfam family "Eukaryotic large subunit ribosomal RNA", at positions 78 to 919 of the family's 3401-position model. The record is from RNAcentral. Lineage: Eukaryota; Fungi; Basidiomycota; Agaricomycetes; Gomphales; Lentariaceae.